This 107-nucleotide microRNA precursor is filed under the name Capitella teleta. RNAcentral's name for it is "microRNA mir-263". It matches the Rfam family "mir-263 microRNA precursor family". The record is from RNAcentral. Lineage: Eukaryota; Metazoa; Annelida; Polychaeta; Capitellidae.
UUGUUUCUCGCCAUCUAUGGCACUAUUAGAAUUCACGGUUGUUUUCGUUCGUGUUUGAACGCACUUCAUGACCGUGACUUCUUUAGUGCUAUAUAUGGCGAGAACGC